AGCCCGUAGCAAUUUUGCAUUUUUCACAGGGUUUAUUAUGAGCUCUCCAACAGUUUUACCCUAUGGUCUCCUGGGAUUGUGUCACAGUUGGUUUUCAUUUAAUGGUGUUAAUCAAGAAGUAACUGUGAAACUGAUGUUUGUCACUGCUGCAGCUAGACCAUUCACCUGACAGCAAAAGGAACUCAUAUUCAGAGGGAGAGGGAAAAAUACGACUACCCAUAGGGGGGUUACGCUGGGGCCUCCUCCUUUCUCCCACAGCUAAUUCCUUGGCAGCAUUACGUACAAUAAAAUAAACCAGCGUUCAGAGGAAAAGGUUGCUCCGCUGAGCCUUUCAGUGUGGCGAGCCCUGAUCUCAUCCGCUCCGCUUCUUCCGUGCUGUAGUGCAGUUGUCCCACUAGAUGUCAGGGCCGAGCACGGAGCGAGCAGACAAGGCCCAGCUCCCAGAGCAGCCGCUCCUGCAGAACUCCUGCUGCUCUUCAAGGCCGCGGCGCUGAGCGGCUGCUUGGAGGAAGGCAAAACGUCCUGCGUGCUGCUGGGGAAAGGCAAGGAAGCAGGAGGGGGCCUUCCUGGGUGCUGUCCUGCCUUCCUUAAUCUGUAGAGAUUUGUGUGCUUAAUUGGCUUAGUAGAAGAAAGCAGAGUUAUAAAUGAGCCUGGAAGGUGUCCAUGUGUUACCUGUGAGAUUAUUGAGGGUGCAGCUCUGCAGCAGCUUAAAGCAGAUCUAAAAGGGGAGGGAGAAAACGCUGCCAGAAAAAGUGCACGCUUGUCACGAUGAGGUAAGGACCGUUUGUUCAGCCACACAGAGCAGCCUGUGACCCGUCACGCUCUGGAAGCGCUGUGUUGUGUAUCAGACCCCCAGAUCUGGAACAGACUCCACUCAUCGUUUCGUCCCAGAUACAUGCGUACAGUGGGGGUCAGGCCCGGGGAGUCCAUCAUAACCAUCAGUGUUACUUGGUUCAAGAGCUAUACAAACACACAACCCAGCCGCACUGGGAGUGGGGCAGCACCUUGCACCCAAGCAGAGCUUCCAGCACAGCAAAGGCUUUAUCUACAAACCAAACUGGUUAUAAACAGAGAAAUGAAGGAGGUUAACCCACAUGUCAAGGAAGAGGAACAAAGCUGCUCAUGCUUUCUCCAGAUGAUUAAAGUUGAUUGCUUAACAGGAAUACAACUUAGGUGGUUUAUUUUUCAAAAUAGUUGGCAUUUGUCUCAUUACGCAACAGGGUUUGAGACACAGACUUGUUGAAAGAGAGAGCCUUGCACCAAACUGCUCAGAUGAAAUCUUCAGCAUCCCUCAGCACCGGCAAUAUUUAUUGCAAAAAACAUAUUCCUUUAAACAUAUCUUCAUUAUUAAUUUGUCAUGAAAAAAAGGUUUUCUUCCCUCUCUGUACUUAUUGUCUGAGCACUGAGGAAACAAGAAUAACGAUAAUAU
This 1429-nucleotide long non-coding RNA is filed under the name Numida meleagris (helmeted guineafowl). RNAcentral's name for it is "lncRNA (ENSNMEG00000018034.1)". Lineage: Eukaryota; Metazoa; Chordata; Aves; Galliformes; Numididae. The record is from RNAcentral.